This 291-nucleotide ribosomal RNA is filed under the name uncultured bacterium. RNAcentral describes it as "partial 16S ribosomal RNA". It matches the Rfam family "Bacterial small subunit ribosomal RNA", at positions 773 to 1060 of the family's 1533-position model. The record is from RNAcentral.
GUGGAUUAGAUACCCUGGUAGUCCACGCCGUAAACGAUGAGUGCUAAGUGUUGGGGGGUUUCCGCCCCUCAGUGCUGCAGCUAACGCAUUAAGCACUCCGCCUGGGGAGUACGCACGCAAGUGUGAAACUCAAAGGAAUUGACGGGGGCCCGCACAAGCGGUGGAGCAUGUGGUUUAAUUCGAAGCAACGCGAAGAACCUUACCAGGUCUUGACAUCCCAUUGACCACUGUAGAGAUACAGUUUUCCCUUCGGGGACAACGGUGACAGGUGGUGCACGGUUGUCGUCUGCU